Molecule: non-coding RNA, 27 nt
Filed under: Cricetulus griseus (Chinese hamster)
Lineage: Eukaryota; Metazoa; Chordata; Mammalia; Rodentia; Cricetidae
Source: RNAcentral
GUUACCUGAGUGGAAUUUUGAUGGCUC